This 228-nucleotide long non-coding RNA is filed under the name Hordeum vulgare. RNAcentral's name for it is "long non-coding RNA (HVUL_LNC003306)". The record is from RNAcentral. Lineage: Eukaryota; Viridiplantae; Streptophyta; Magnoliopsida; Poales; Poaceae.
UUUUAUUUGAACUUGUGAGGAGCCAAAUAGUGAGUGAGUUGGCUAGUAUGUUAAGAUUUUAAUAUUGAAGUCUUGAGUUCAGUUCUAAGCUUUAGCAUGAUUUUUUAGGCUAUAAAACUACAAGUAUGGAAACUCCUACCGUCAAGAUUUGUUUCCAACAUCUUUUUCUCCCAAUAGUUAUCAAGUCUGUGAUGUGUGUUAUCAAGCUAUUCACACAAAAAAUUAACC